GAUCAUGGCUCAGGAUGAACGCUAGCGACAGGCUUAACACAUGCAAGUCGAGGGGCAGCAUAAAAGUAGCAAUACUUGGUGGCGACCGGCGCACGGGUGAGUAACGCGUAUGCAACCUACCUAUCAGGAGGGGAAUAACCCGGCGAAAGUCGGACUAAUACCGCAUAAAACAGGGGCACCGCAUGGUGAUAUUUGUUAAAGAAAUUCGCUGAUAGAUGGGCAUGCGUUCCAUUAGGUAGUUGGUGAGGUAACGGCUCACCAAGCCGACGAUGGAUAGGGGAACUGAGAGGUUGGUCCCCCACACUGGUACUGAGACACGGACCAGACUCCUACGGGAGGCAGCAGUGAGGAAUAUUGGUCAAUGGGCGGGAGCCUGAACCAGCCAAGUCCGCGUGAAGGAAGAAGGAUCUAUGGUUCGUAAACUUCUUUUGCAGGGGAAUAAAGUGCAGGACGUGUCCUGUUUUGUAUGUACCCUGAGAAUAAGGAUCGGCUAACUCCGUGCCAGCCGCGGC
RNAcentral lists this ribosomal RNA (512 nucleotides) under uncultured bacterium. RNAcentral's name for it is "bacterial SSU rRNA". It matches the Rfam family "Bacterial small subunit ribosomal RNA", at positions 15 to 518 of the family's 1533-position model. The record is from RNAcentral.